UUGUAGGCGGAGCCCUCAUGGCAUUUCCCCGAUGGGUCGGAGAAGGACAGGCGUAGAAGCAGGAUUGCAGGAAGUGCUGACGGCAAUGGUCUUGUCUUCUUUACCGCACUUGGUCAUGAACUGUUUCUUGUGUAUGACGAAGAGUACGAAGUAGCUAAGGAUUUGUACUACGAUAUGUUGUAUCUACUUCUUCCACACGUGGUUCAUACCUUCUGCAUUUUUUUAGCUUAUCCUCUCAAGUUACUUUUAUUCCAUGCAGAAAGCUGUUAGAUAAUUUGCCUAGGUGGGGAGCUUUCUGCUCUCUCUAACGUGAAAUCUCUUUGGCUCUCUGACCCUCCAGCUGCCGUCUCCCCUGAAGAUGUGCAUUUGAAGGCAAGUAAAAAUGCCUUUCCAUAGAGGCCAGAUCAUAUAUUUCCUUUGUCACUUGCCUCCUGAGACUGUCAUGUUGAGAGACAUGCCAUCUUGCAGCAAAAAGGAGGUUGGCAGCAAGCACUGGCAAACAUCUGCCUACUCUUAGUUGUAGUAUCCCUCACAGUUUCAGAUUGAAAAAUUUGAGCAUUUAUAAAAAAUGGCUUUCGCUGUGGAAAAUACAGCCUUUGAAGUUCAGCCUUUUAGCUAAAAGAGUGUUAGAACAUUGCAGGAUUGCUACCCAGAUCUGGAUCAUAAAAUCACUUUUGGAUUCUCACCAUUUUCCAGCAGCCAUUUUUCAAAUUGGUUUUCAUUUCCAAUGUUAAGAGUGAAAGGAACUGCUGGUCUCAUCUUGUCCUGAGCCCCAUCUUUGCACCCAGGCAAGUCUCCAGCCAGUCCAGUCUCAGUUGCAUAGCCAGGGAUGCUUUAUUAACUCUGCUCCCCAGCGCUGAGUCCAGCUGAUGCCUGUAUCUCCGCACCCUCUCUGCCAUCAGCAUCAAGUAGGCCUGGCAAGGGACUCCCAGAUCCUACCUGGGUGCUCACCUGAAUGGGAUCUCUUUCAGCAGAGUACAGCCUCCAUGUCAGUUUAGUCUGUCAGACCACUCAGUCACUGCAAAGCAGGAGCUAGGCACAGACUUCCUGCAGCUCAGGCAACAGGGUUCUCAGCAGGUGUCAGUGUGUGUUAUCACACUAGCCACUAACGAAAUGGUUCACUUGCUUAUGAAGAUACCAUGUAUUUCAUGAAAAAUUUUUAGUGAAUAAUUGUUAAAUACUAGAAUGAUUAAAAGAUUAAUGACCAGCAUUUGUAGUAGAUAAGAUGGGCAAAUUACUAAGAAAAUAAUUAGUAUCUUAUAAUAGGCAAUCAAUUAAAAAGUUCUGAAAUUUAAUCCAAGUGUAGAGCAUUUUUAAUGUUCUUCUGAGUGAAUGUGAAAGCAUUGUCCUUUUAGUCAUCAGACUGGCAGAGAUGGGAAAGGCCCACAAGUGCCAUGCUUGUGAAGAACUAGAAAGUGGCUUUUCCUAUGUUACUGCUUCUCAGUCUUUGUGCAAAGUGGUUGGGCAGUACAUGGUGACAACUUUAUGCACAUUUAUCUGUGUGACAGUUGUGCUUCUCACCUGACUCUAUCAUACAGGUCAUUCUUAGCUAGAAAGCUGCUGGUCUGAAUUGUCCAGUUCAGCACCAUUUAUUAGCCUGGAUUAUCUGUGGACUGUGUGGUCUGCAUUCCUUUUAUCUGAUGUGUAACUCCCUGGAAUUAUGUACUGAAAAAACAGCUUUUAAUGGCUAUAAUGUGACUCUGCAGAUGCAGCCUGACUGCAGGUAGCUGCUAUGGUAUUCUCUUGCAGGUCCUUGUAAAGGAGAGUGGGGUGGUCUCUCCUACUGUGACUGUUUCCAGCAAGGAUUGGCUGGUUGUGUCUGGAGUUUCUCCUCCUCCUCACUGUCCACCAUCUUUCUUGAGGCUCCGGUUCCCAGGGCCGCAGGCUUGAUCUUCCCCUCUUUAGAAUCUUGAGCUUGGACCGGUUCUCCACAUGGCACUCCAAAGGAUGCUUACAGAGCUGCAAGACUGGCUCCUGGUACUGCCUUCAGUUAUACUUGAUAGGCAUGUGGCCGUACAUAAUGGUUGUGUAGUGAGUCACCCCUCUUCCCCUGCCAACAUUUACAAUCUGUUUUUAUACAGUUAACAUUAACUUACCUGUUAUCUUGUGACGACUUAAGAUUCUCUCUAAUUAAUCCAAGUAGUUUGUGCAGUUACUACCAGUUUUCAGCCCAACCCUGCAGUAAUGGGCAACCCAUACCUUUACUGGUCAUCACAGACAUUAAUUAUUGAGAUGAUUUGUAAAAAUCCUCAUCUUGGUAAAUCAGCUUAGACUGUUCACAAAUGCAGCUGGCAGUAGCUGCCUCUUAGCUAUAAUUCCUUAUGCUGGCAUGAUAUCUCAAUUACCAAAUUCAGGGAAAUUAUGCCUGUGUAUCUCUUUUCUCAAUUAACUGUUUUUUUUCCCCCCAGAAUAAAUAAGAUAAAGAAAAGCAGCUAACAUUUUUAGUCUUCCAUUUUUUUUUUUUUUAAAGUACACUCUGCUAAUACGGUUUUAGGAGUUUCACAUCCUGUUUUUAAAGAAAUCUUCAUUGCUAGUUCAGUUUAUGAACAUUAGAAAUAUAGACACCAUGGCACUAUAGAUUUUGUAGAUUAUGAGGAAAUUUCCUUAGGAUUGCAGUUUCCUCCAUGAUAACUACAUCCUUCAAAUCUUGAGUUUAUUUUUUUCUCCUGUCUCCUUUCUUACCUCUUUCCUUAAAUAACUGGACUACAUAGUCAGGAACUCUGAGGAAUGGGUAGCAAAGCCCCCACUGCCAUUCUCCUCGAGUUGAGUCCUUAGGCAUUGAUAGUAACCUGUGCUUUCCUGAAAUAGUGUAUUGGCCACUGGCUUGUACUAUUGCCAUAAUAGCUUUGCGGAAAUUUCACCCCAUUCAGCGAUCAUAAUAAGAAAUAAAGAAUCCUUGAAAUUCAUGAUAUUAAAAAAAACACUUUAAAAAUAACCUACUUAAUAGAUCUUAAGAUAACUAAAUAAACACUGUGUUUUUGCUAAAGGAGAUGUCUGUUUUUACUGGGUUCAAAUACAGGGUAGCAUUACUAAGUGUCUACCAAAUGUUUUUAUAUUAUCCCCCCCCCCCCUUUAUGGACACAAAAAAAUACUUGAAUUUUAACCUGGGAUUCAUUUGUUUUGCCUGUUACCACUUUUGCAUCCUUAAAUUCACAGUGGACCAUGUUUGAAAAUGACUACUUAGGACAUAUAUUCUUUAGGAGUACUGUACUUUUGUCUCUAAAUGAAUUUCAGGUAUGGAAUAUCUAAAGGUAAAAGACUUUUCUCCCUUAAACAAAAAGUAGGGUCUUGAAUUUGUUUUUUCAUUUCUUAUGUUGUAGCCAUGGAAGAUGAAUUCUUGAGAGUGAGGCGUCCCAGGCUCUGUUUUCUAUCUGCUCUCAGGACUUCAUCAAGACAACUGGACACAUAUUCUUCCACAUUUUCCAUCAUUUCCCUUGUCUGUUGUGCUUUUAAAAUAUAACAGCUCCAUAUAUCAUUAUUUUGUAUUUAUAGUGAAGUAAAGGAACCAAUGUGUUGGAAGUGUAUUUUUGUUAUUCUAGUUUGAGUUGGUUGUUUAUUUUGUUGUUCUAUUUCAUCUCUGGUGGUUGUUAAAAUAUUUUUUUUAAAUUACUGAAACAGCUUCUUGAAUAUCCCAGGCUGGCCUUGAAAUUCCCAUGUGGCCUAGGAUGAUCCUGAACUUCUGAUCCUCCUGCCUCAAACCUUCCUAAUGCUGGGAUUACAGGUGUAUGUCACCAUGCCUAGUUUAUGUGGUGCUGGGCAUCAAAUUUGAUGCUAAGUGCAUGGUAGUUAAGCACUCUACCAACUGAGCCAUGCCCAUCCUUUCUUUGUUGACUUUUGAGGUAUACUGAGUUCUUUGGAGAUAUCUUCAGAAGAAUCCUUUCCAAGAAGAUCCAUCCUGCAGAGCAACUGACCCUGGGGGUGCCCAUUCCCAGUUGGAAAACUGUAACACAAUCCGUGUACCCGGGCUCAGGAAACAUCACUGAAGAGGGGAUAGAAAGAUUAUAAGAGCCAGAGAACCAGCACAUUUUAUGAGAUAGUAGAGUUAUACCCAUAAAACCUUAACUACAUGCUUUCCUAAACACUUGUACAAAGACGUUAGUUGAUACUCAAUGUGGAUAUGAAAAAUCUCACAAGGCCCCACCCCAAGAAGAAACUGCAUCGGCAAUUAAUGGCUGCUAAAAGAGGGAGAAUCAGGCUUCUUUUGUUUUAGUUGGGGUUUCUAUUGCUGUGAUGAAACACCUUGACCAAAAAUGAACUCAGGGAGGAAAGGUUUUAUUUGGUUUAUCCUUCUGUGUUGUGGUCCAUUAUUGAAGGAAGCCAGCACAGGAAGUCAAACAGGGCUGGAGGUGAUGGCAGAGACCACGCAGAGGUGCUGUUUAUUGGCCUACUCCCAUGGCCUGCUCAGCCUGCUUUCUUAUUGAAUCUACGACCAGAAUGGGCUGGGCCUUCCAUGUCAAUCACUAGUUAAGAAAAUGCCUUAUAUCUGGAUCUAUGGAGGCAUCUUCUCAAUUGAGUUUUCCUCCUUUUAGGUGACUUUAGCUUGUGUUAAGUUAAUAUAAUGUAUCCAGCUCAUCCUGAUAGGUUUUCCAAUCUCAAGUACUCAAUCUUAAACACAUACGUAUUGAGCAAUGCUAAAUGGACCUAGCAUGAUGUAUUAUAUAUGUGAAAACACACACACACACACACACACACACACACACACACACACACACACACACACAGAUAAUUAAGAAGUCAUGAAGUUCAAAGGAAGUGGGUGGAAGAUCUGGUAUGAGAGAUUAUGGGAUGAACAUGAUAUAAAUACUAUACUCAUGUGUGAAAUUC
RNAcentral lists this long non-coding RNA (4824 nucleotides) under Mus musculus (house mouse). Its description in RNAcentral is "long non-coding RNA chr13:36161594-36166418". Lineage: Eukaryota; Metazoa; Chordata; Mammalia; Rodentia; Muridae. The record is from RNAcentral.